UACGUAGGGGGCUGGCGUUGUCCGGAUUUAUUGGGCGUAAAGAGCGUGUAGGCGGCCAGGUAGGUCUGGUGUGAAAACUCGAGGCUUAACCUCGAGAUGUCAUCGGAAACCAUCUGGCUAGAGUCCGGAAGAGGAGAGUGGAAUUCCUGGUGUAGCGGUGAAAUGCGCAGAUAUCAGGAAGAACACCAAUGGCGAAAGCAGCUCUCUGGGACGGUACUGACGCUGAGACGCGAAAGCGUGGGGAGCGAACAGG
This 253-nucleotide ribosomal RNA is filed under the name uncultured bacterium. RNAcentral's name for it is "partial 16S ribosomal RNA". It matches the Rfam family "Bacterial small subunit ribosomal RNA", at positions 524 to 776 of the family's 1533-position model. The record is from RNAcentral.